This 156-nucleotide ribosomal RNA is filed under the name alpha proteobacterium SA331. RNAcentral's name for it is "partial 16S ribosomal RNA". Lineage: Bacteria; Pseudomonadati; Pseudomonadota; Alphaproteobacteria. The record is from RNAcentral.
CCUUACGGGAGGCAGCAGUGGGGAAUCUUGGACAAGGCAGGCAAGCCGAAUCCAGCCAACCGCGUGCAGGAAGAAGCCCUUCUGGUGGUAAACUGAUUUAGUAGGGAAGGAAAAAAACAGAGUAAUACCGGGAUGAUGACGUACCGCAGAUAGACC